AGACCCGAAACCCGGUGAUCUAGCCAUGGGCAGGUUGAAGGUUGGGUAACACUAACUGGAGGACCGAACCGACUAAUGUUGAAAAAUUAGCGGAUGACCUGUGGCUGGGGGUGAAAGGCCAAUCAAACCGGGAGAUAGCUGGUUCUCCCCGAAAGCUAUUUAGGUAGCGCCUCGUGAAUUCAUCUCCGGGGGUAGAGCACUGUUUCGGCUAGGGGGCCAUCCCGGCUUACCAACCCGAUGCAAACUGCGAAUACCGGAGAAUGUUAUCACGGGAGACACACGGCGGGUGCUAACGUCCGUCGUGAAGAGGGAAACAACCCAGACCGCCAGCUAAGGUCCCAAAGUCAUGGUUAAGUGGGAAACGAUGUGGGAAGGCCCAGACAGCCAGGAUGUUGGCUUAGAAGCAGCCAUCAUUUAAAGAAAGCGUAAUAGCUCACUGGUCGAGUCGGCCUGCGCGGAAGAUGUAACGGGGCUAAACCAUGCACCGAAGCUGCGGCAGCGACGCUGAUGCGUUGUUGGGUAGGGGAGCGUUCUGUAAGCCUGCGAAGGUGACCUGUGAGGGUUGCUGGAGGUAUCAGAAGUGCGAAUGCUGACAUAAGUAA
Molecule: ribosomal RNA, 602 nt
Filed under: Salmonella enterica subsp. enterica serovar Heidelberg
Lineage: Bacteria; Pseudomonadati; Pseudomonadota; Gammaproteobacteria; Enterobacterales; Enterobacteriaceae
Description: partial 23S ribosomal RNA
Rfam family: Bacterial large subunit ribosomal RNA
Source: RNAcentral